AACAGUGAUACAUGCACACGAAACUAUGAAAUAAAAACAUCAGACAUCAUACUGCAUUUAAAACUGUAAAAUAGAACAAACAACAACUGACCGACAAAUACACUAGACUCGGGCUCCAUUAGCAACCUUAAAUAAUUUCACACAGCUAUUGAUUCAUGAAAUACCAUUUUAUCAUUUAUUGCACUUUAAUACCGUGAUAGAAAAUAGGGUGAGGAAUCCUUACUUAUUUUCGGGACCCGAAAUAGGCUUUUCCGAGUGCCUGCGGGUUAUCCCUAAAUUUUCUGAAUUUUUUUCCGAAA
This 299-nucleotide long non-coding RNA is filed under the name Carica papaya (papaya). Its description in RNAcentral is "long non-coding RNA (CPAP_LNC007473)". The record is from RNAcentral. Lineage: Eukaryota; Viridiplantae; Streptophyta; Magnoliopsida; Brassicales; Caricaceae.